CGUAACAAGGUCUCCGUUGGUGAACCAGCGGAGGGAUCAUUACCGAGUUUACAACUCCCAAACCCCUGUGAACAUACCAAUUGUUGCCUCGGCGGAUCAGCCCGCUCCCGGUAAAACGGGACGGCCCGCCAGAGGACCCCUAAACUCUGUUUCUAUAUGUAACUUCUGAGUAAAACCAUAAAUAAAUCAAAACUUUCAACAACGGAUCUCUUGGUUCUGGCAUCGAUGAAGAACGCAGCAAAAUGCGAUAAGUAAUGUGAAUUGCAGAAUUCAGUGAAUCAUCGAAUCUUUGAACGCACAUUGCGCCCGCCAGUAUUCUGGCGGGCAUGCCUGUUCGAGCGUCAUUUCAACCCUCAAGCCCAGCUUGGUGUUGGGACUCGCGAGUCAAAUCGCGUUCCCCAAAUUGAUUGGCGGUCACGUCGAGCUUCCAUAGCGUAGUAGUAAAACCCUCGUUACUGGUAAUCGUCGCGGCCACGCCGUUAAACCCCAACUUCUGAAUGUUGACCUCGGAUCAGGUAGGAAUACCCGCUGAACUUAAGCAUAUCAGCAAAAGAAACCAACAGGGAUUGCCCUAGUAACGGCGAGUGAAGCGGCAACAGCUCAAAUUUGAAAUCUGGCUCUCGGGCCCGAGUUGUAAUUUGUAGAGGAUACUUUUGAUGCGGUGCCUUCCGAGUUCCCUGGAACGGGACGCCAUAGAGGGUGAGAGCCCCGUCUGGUUGGAUGCCAAAUCUCUGUAAAGUUCCUUCGACGAGUCGAGUAGUUUGGGAAUGCUGCUCUAAAUGGGAGGUAUAUGUCUUCUAAAGCUAAAUACCGGCCAGAGACCGAUAGCGCACAAGUAGAGUGAUCGAAAGAUGAAAAGCACUUUGAAAAGAGAGUUAAAAAGUACGUGAAAUUGUUGAAAGGGAAGCGUUUAUGACCAGACUUGGGCUUGGUUAAUCAUCUGGGGUUCUCCCCAGUGCACUUUUCCAGUCCAGGCCAGCAUCAGUUUUCCCCGGGGGAUAAAGACUUCGGGAAUGUGGCUCUCUUCGGGGAGUGUUAUAGCCCGUUGUGUAAUACCCUGGGGGGGACUGAGGUUCGCGCAUCUGCAAGGAUGCUGGCGUAAUGGUCAUCAACGACCCGUNU
Molecule: ribosomal RNA, 1122 nt
Filed under: Fusarium sp. CHTAG32
Lineage: Eukaryota; Fungi; Ascomycota; Sordariomycetes; Hypocreales; Nectriaceae
Description: eukaryotic LSU rRNA
Rfam family: Eukaryotic large subunit ribosomal RNA (bases 502-1122)
Source: RNAcentral